GAAUAUUGGACAAUGGGGGGCACCCUGAUCCAGCCAUGCCGCGCGUGUGAAGAAGGCCUCUUGGUUGUAAAGCACUUUAAGCGCGGAGGAGGCUCCUUAGAUUAAUACCCUAGGAUAGUGGACGUUACUCGCAGAAUCAGCACCGGCUAACACUGUGCCCGCAGCCCCGGUAAUACAGAGGGUGCAAGCGUUAAUCGGAUUUACUGGGCGUAAAGCGCGCGUAGGUGGCCAAUUAAGUCAAAUGUGAAAUCCCCGAGCUUAACUUGGGAAUUGCAUUCGAUACUGGUUGGCUAGAGUAUGGGAGAGGAUGGUAGAAUUCCAGGUGGAGCGGUGAAAUGCGUAGAGAUCUGGAGGAAUACCGAUGGCGAAGGCAGCCAUCUGGCCUAAUACUGACACUGAGGUGCGAAAGCAUGGGGAGCAAACA
RNAcentral lists this ribosomal RNA (424 nucleotides) under uncultured bacterium. RNAcentral describes it as "partial 16S ribosomal RNA". It matches the Rfam family "Bacterial small subunit ribosomal RNA", at positions 359 to 774 of the family's 1533-position model. The record is from RNAcentral.